This 288-nucleotide ribosomal RNA is filed under the name uncultured Methanoculleus sp. RNAcentral's name for it is "partial 16S ribosomal RNA". It matches the Rfam family "Archaeal small subunit ribosomal RNA", at positions 339 to 631 of the family's 1478-position model. The record is from RNAcentral. Lineage: Archaea; Methanobacteriati; Methanobacteriota; Methanomicrobia; Methanomicrobiales; Methanomicrobiaceae.
GCGCGAAAACUUUACAAUGCGGGCAACCGUGAUAAGGGAACCUCGAGUGCCUGUACAUGCAGGCUGUCUGGGUGUCUAAAACACACCCAAAGAAAGGGCCGGGCAAGACCGGUGCCAGCCGCCGCGGUAAUACCGGCGGCUCGAGUGGUGGCCACUUUUAUUGGGCUUAAAGCGUUCGUAGCUGGGUUGUUAAGUCUCUUGGGAAAUCCGGCGGCUUAACCGUCGGGCGUCUAARARAUACUGGCAAUCUAGGAACCGGGAGAGGUGAGGGGUACUUCGGGGGUAGGA